Balaenoptera musculus (blue whale) is the source of this 121-nucleotide small nucleolar RNA. Its record names the gene SNORD22. It matches the Rfam family "Small nucleolar RNA SNORD22". From Rfam's summary of the family: U22 is a member of the C/D class of snoRNA which contain the C (UGAUGA) and D (CUGA) box motifs. U22 is encoded within the U22 snoRNA host gene (UHG) in mammals and has also been identified in Xenopus. U22 is thought to as a 2'-O-ribose methylation guide for ribosomal RNA. The record is from Ensembl. Lineage: Eukaryota; Metazoa; Chordata; Mammalia; Artiodactyla; Balaenopteridae.
ACCCAGUGAAGAAACAGUCACACAUCUUACCUCCCAUCCCAGUCCCAGAGCCUGGGUGAACCCACUGGGGCUGGCUGGAGGAGGGGAGGCAAGUUUGUUUCAGAGGAACUGUCUGAGAGAG